RNAcentral lists this small RNA (69 nucleotides) under Saccharococcus thermophilus. Its description in RNAcentral is "RNA-1". The stretch from base 9 to 69 matches the Rfam family "Bacillaceae-1 RNA", at positions 9 to 67 of the family's 67-position model. Lineage: Bacteria; Bacillati; Bacillota; Bacilli; Caryophanales; Anoxybacillaceae. The record is from RNAcentral.
GGCGCCGCAAUUUCGCCUAAGGGCAGCCCACGUCCUGUGAGCAACGGCGAAAUGUCGCCAUCCCGGCUC